GUCCCAUUUAUCAAUUCCACGUUUGUCUGUGGUGGUUUUAAAGACUGCGCUCUGCAGAACAGUAUCUCUGGAGACCAGACAGCAGCAACAUCCGGGACAACCUGGACCAAUACAACAAGAUGGGGGGCCCUUCCUGUGCCCCACAAGUGAGUGAAGCUGAACUGCGAAACUGCAGCCAGUGGAUUGCACUGGAGCAUGAUGUUAUGACUGAAACUGAGCAAACAGACACAAACGCUAACAUUUCCUUGACAGCUGACACGUCUGUUUGCUUGGAGAUCUAGAGCAACAGGCUUGUGCCCAUCUACUAAGGCCAGAAUCAGGGUGCAUGAAAGACAACAGGCAGGUGCUGGAACAUGGAGAUUGCAAUACUUGUUCCACUGAAAGACUUCAUCAUGUGACAUUGUAUGACAACAAACAGAUGUCAUUAUAGACCUGACGUGUAA
Molecule: long non-coding RNA, 443 nt
Organism: Paramormyrops kingsleyae
Lineage: Eukaryota; Metazoa; Chordata; Actinopteri; Osteoglossiformes; Mormyridae
Source: RefSeq, a predicted model, not a curated record